UGCGGUUAAAACGCUCGUAGUUGGAGAUCUGUCAAAAAAUACUGGUCCGCCCUCGUGGUGAGUACAUGGUAAGUUUUUGUCAUCAUCUUGGGGAACUUGUUUGCACUUUACUGUGUGACUUGAGAUCCAGGACUUUUACUUUGAGGAAAUGAGAGUGUUUCAAGCAGGCGGAAGCCCUGAAUACGUUAGCAUGGAAUAAUAGCAUCGGACCUCCUUCCAAAGCUGUUGGUUCAUUGGAAAGAGGUAAUGGUAAACAGGGAUAGUUGGGGGCAUUCGUAUUUAACUGUCAGAGGUGAAAUUCUUGGAUUUGUUAAAGACGAACUACUGCGAAAGCAUCUGCCAAGGAUGUUUUCAUUGAUCAAGAACGAAAGUUAGGGGAUCGAAGACGAUCAGAUACCGUCCUAGUCUUAACCAUAAACUAUGCCGACUAGAGAUUGGGGGCCGUCUUUAUAUGACGCCCUCAGCAUCUUGAGAGAAAUCAGAGUCUUUGGGUUCCGGGGGGAGUAUGGUCGUAAGGCUGAAACUUAAAGGAAUUGACGGAAGGGCACCACCAGGAGUGGAGCCUGCGGCUAAUUUUGACUCAAC
This 585-nucleotide ribosomal RNA is filed under the name uncultured marine eukaryote. Its description in RNAcentral is "SSU rRNA". It matches the Rfam family "Eukaryotic small subunit ribosomal RNA", at positions 614 to 1204 of the family's 1831-position model. The record is from RNAcentral.